AACGUAGGAGACGAGCGUUAUCCGGAUUUACUGGGCGUAAAGCGCGUGCAGGCGGUUUAUUAAGUCACUUGUGAAAGCGCCCGGCUCAACUGGGCGAGGCCGUGUGAGACUGAUAGACUUGAGAGAGGUAGAGGCGAAUGGAAUUCCGGGUGGAGUGGUGAAAUGCGUAGAGAUCCGGAGGAACACCAGUGGCGAAGGCGGCGCUCUGGGCUGGAACUGACGCUGAGGAGCGAAAGCUAGGGUAGCGAACGGG
This 253-nucleotide ribosomal RNA is filed under the name uncultured bacterium. RNAcentral describes it as "partial 16S ribosomal RNA". It matches the Rfam family "Bacterial small subunit ribosomal RNA", at positions 524 to 776 of the family's 1533-position model. The record is from RNAcentral.